AGGACGACGCUGGCGGCGUGCCUAAUACAUGCAAGUCGAACGGUCUUUCUAUGGAAGCUUGCUUCCACUGAGAAGAUAGUGGCGAACGGGUGAGUAACACGUGGGUAACCUGCCCAUAAGAGGGGGAUAACAUCCGGAAACGGGUGCUAAUACCGCAUAGUUUUCUUGAUCGCAUGAUUGAGAAAGGAAAGACGGCCUUUGUGCUGUCGCUUAUGGAUGGACCCGCGGCGUAUUAGUUAGUUGGUGAGGUAACGGCUCACCAAGACGAUGAUACGUAGCCGACCUGAGAGGGUGAUCGGCCACAUUGGGACUGAGACACGGCCCAAACUCCUACGGGAGGCAGCAGUAGGGAAUCUUCCGCAAUGGACGAAAGUCUGACGGAGCAACGCCGCGUGAGUGAAGAAAGGUUUUCGGAUCGUAAAACUCUGUUGUCAGAGAAGAACAAGUUGGAGAGUAACUGCUCCAGCCUUGACGGUAUCUGACCAGAAAGCCACGGCUAACUACGUGCCAGCCGCAGC
Molecule: ribosomal RNA, 518 nt
Filed under: uncultured bacterium
Lineage: Bacteria
Description: bacterial SSU rRNA
Rfam family: Bacterial small subunit ribosomal RNA
Source: RNAcentral